AUUGAACGCUGGCGGCAUGCCUUACACAUGCGAGUCGAACGGUAACGGGCCUUCGGGUGCCGACGAGUGGCGAACGGGUGAGUAAUACAUCGGAACGUGCCCGAUCGUGGGGGAUAACGAGGCGAAAGCUUUGCUAAUACCGCAUACGAUCUACGGAUGAAAGCAGGGGACCGCAAGGCCUUGCGCGGACGGAGCGGCCGAUGGCAGAUUAGGUAGUUGGUGGGAUAAAAGCUUACCAAGCCGACGAUCUGUAGCUGGUCUGAGAGGAUGAUCAGCCACACUGGGACUGAGACACGGCCCAGACUCCUGCGGGAGGCAGCAGUGGGGAAUUUUGGACAAUGGGCGCAAGCCUGAUCCAGCCAUGCCGCGUGCAGGAUGAAGGCCUUCGGGUUGUAAACUGCUUUUGUACGGAACGAAAAGCCUUCUUUUAAUACAGGAGGGUCAUGACGGUACCGUAAGAAUAAGCACCGGCUAACUACGUG
Molecule: ribosomal RNA, 482 nt
Filed under: uncultured bacterium
Lineage: Bacteria
Description: partial 16S ribosomal RNA
Rfam family: Bacterial small subunit ribosomal RNA
Source: RNAcentral